CGAUCUAACCGGCUCAAUUCGGUGGGAACCGAACCGGAGAGCUUGUUGUCGCUGAGGACGAGAGCGUUCAAGAACUUACACUCCACGAUCUGAGUCGGGAUCGGGCCGGAGAGUUUGUUACCGGACAGAUCUAGAGUGACGAGGUAAGGAAGCCACGAGCAGAUUUGGGAAGGAAUCGCGCCGGAGAGAUCGUUCCCGGAGAGAUCUAAAGACUGUAGGCUCCGGCAGAGCUUGAGAGACUCGGGAAUCUGGCCGGCGAGCUGCAUAGAUUGGAGCUGGAGAGAGAUGAUGCGAUUCUCUUUCUCGUUCCAGCAGGAGACGCCGGUGAGCUUGCAAAUCGAUGAGGCUGAGGAGUUCGGGAAGGACCAGGAGGUGAGUCGUGACGAAGGGUCGGUGAGUGACUUCUUUAGGCCUUGGAGACAGAGGACGUCGUCUUCUGCGAAAGAAGAUAGAAACGAGCUGAUGAAGAGGAGCCAUAAGAGAGUCUUCAUAGGUGGAUCUGUGAAGAUGAUGUAUCUCUCUCUCUCUCUCUCUCUCUCUCUAGGGUUUGUUUUUCCUCAGAGAAGUUCGAUGGCGGAAAGAACGCUCAUUGACUGUGUUACUGAUGAAAAAAGGAGACAACUUUUUUUUUUCCUCUGUUUUGUUUGACUAUUUUUUUCUUUUUUUUAGUCAUUUUGCAGAGAUUAUAAUUAUUAAUUUGUUUAUACUAUUUGUUUGUUACUAGCUGGUUUGUUUUGUUUGGGAAAAGCAUCCAGUAACUAAACGACGCCGUUAGAAUAGCAUCUCUGAGAGUCAGAGAGAAGAUUUAAGUCAGUUUGGUAUCAAAUCCUUGAAAAGGAAAGGUAGUUAUUCUUUCUGGGUUGUCAAAAGUACAAAUCAAGAACUUACGACUCUUUCUUGUAAUGAUGAUACGACCAACAUAUCAAAUACUUGUAAUUAAUAUGACUUUAUUGGGAUUUAUUUUUAUUUAAUAUAGGCUGGCUCAUUCAUUACUCACAAGAGUAUAACUUGCAAGUUGAUGGUGAUAGAGAAAAAAAAGGUCAAACUAGAACUAAAAAGAUCCUAUGUUUUGGGCAAUGGGCUUGUAUACCGUUACUAACAUUUCAGCCCAAAAUGUGUUAGGGUUCGCUAGUUUUUUUCUUUCCGGUGACUUGUAGCCUAGGUGGCCGGAAAAGAGAACAGUAAACGAUAUAGCCUGUGGUAUGUUUGGAUAGAAAACCGCUUUUAAAUACCACUACUAUUUUACUUUCAUGAUUGGUAAUCGUCAAAUUGGUAAUAUCCGUUACCACUGCCAUAACGACAAUGAUUAACAUGUUUGGUCUAAAGAUUCCUUCAAGCUUUAUCUUUAUCAUCUUACUGACAACUUUCUUACCGACAAAAAUAUAGUCCAAACAAAAAUCCGAAAGACCUUGGUAAAUAAAUAUUAAUUCAAAAAAUAUUGAAAUUUACAAAUGUGGUAAACUCUAUUAAACAAAACAAAAUUAGAAACCAUUUCAAUUCUCUCCAACAAAAAAAACACAAUUAAAUAACAAAAGAAGUAAUAUUAAUGUAUACUCGUCAAAUGUACAUAAUCUCACAAACCAAGUAACCAAAAAAAAAAGAAGUCAAUCUUGUUGUAGUUGUUGUUGCCUCUGCCACGGCAAAUAACCAGUCACUUGAUCAGCAAAAUUAGACAAAACCAAAUCCUUCAAACCAGUAUCCCACACUUCACAGAACCGUCUGUUCCAAUCAACCGGCUCAAUAGCCUCUGUACCAAGCCCUGGAGCUCGAUCUUUAGACCCUUGGUUCUGAUUCUCUCGCCAGUCCACAACAUAAGUAGCCACUCUCCUCUGAAACUUCGCUUUAAAAGUAUCCCAAACUUGGUACUUGUAAUGGUUCACAACCGCAACACUCUCCAACAAACUCAUAUGCCCUACUCCUUCCCUCAUCUGAAAAUGAUGAACCUCGUUCAGCAACGAGCUUGUUAGCAUCUCUGGUCGGAUUAUCGACUUGUGUCUCUCCGGAUUCGCUUGUCUGCAAGUGUAACCUACCGUCACGCCUUGCGAUGGAACUGUAGUUAGACCGGACGGACCGUAACUAUGACAUUCGGUUCUUAUCUCUCCGACCAAACCCCACGAAGUGUAGUUAGACACAAGAGAGCUUAAAGCGUUUUUGCUAGGUAAGCCUUGAGAGCGAUGCGUGGGGAAGUAGUAGAACUCGUCCACGUCGAAGAACCCGACCCAGUUGCAUUCAUCUUUGGCUCUAACCGCACAAUGCGAGAAACCAGCUUCUUGAGUCUUGAUCCACGGCCAGACGUGUCGGCUCACAUUGUAAUUCUCUGAGUUGAGCAAUUCAAUCUCCUCUUGUAUAUCGUCGUCGCUGUUGUUGUCGUAUAUAAACCAACGCUCGACGCCUAGCCACGAGUGGUACAUAAUCCAUUCACGCAAGAAGGGAGCUUGGUUCCAUAGCAUCGUGCAAACACAAAGCUCAUGCUUCUUCACCUUCACCACACUACUCUUCUCGGAACCGUAGACUCGCGCUACGGAUGGUAAAGCAGGCGUGGAUUUUCCUCUAGGAUCGAUGUGGAUCACGCUCACUCGAAACAUCUCCGGAUUUAGCUUCAAGCUCUCAGGCAAAACACACCUCACAACUUCUUGCGCUGCAGCGAGAGCUUGAGUGACAAACACUUCAACACCUGUCUCGAACUGACAUUUGUAGUAAGAAGGAUCUGACUCCUUGUGAGGUCUUCGAGUCAAUCCUUUGACGAAUACAACCACCGUGUCGCCGUCGAUCACUGCCUCGUAACCAACUUUGGCCCAAUCAUGAACCUUCUUCUCAUCACUCAGCUUCUUCUUCUUCUUCACCAAAUCUCCGUCGAAUUGGAGAUCAAGAGAUGAAGAAUAGUUCAAAGGAGCGUUAGGGCACCGAACAACCGAUCUGAACUCAUCGAAUUCAUCACUAGAGAUCGACGGCAACACCAAAGUCUCUUCCUUUCUUCCUCCGUGAUAAACACAAACUAGUUCCUUCCCACCUCUCCCGAUUCUGGUGGAGAGAAUCAGCAGCACAUGGUCGGGGAAUUGGACUCUGUCUUCGACUCUCAGCGGAGGGAAUCUACCGUGAAACGAACGUUGAAUCGAAUCCAUCGAAGACAAGACGGAGAGAGCAGGGACGCGGAGAGACGGUCUCAGAGAAUCGGAACGGACAGAGAUUCGGUCGGAGGAUAAGAAGAAGAAGAGCAAGACGAAGAAACAGCAAAGGCAUAUCGUUAGAUACCUUAGAGACAAGAACUGUGCUUUAGGUUGAUGCUGAUGCUGUCUGUUCCGAACUUUCCUCUUCUUCCCAUGCUCAUACUCCAACAUCAUCUUCUUCCUCUUCUUUCUUUUUUUUUUCUCCACUAAAUUUAUAUAAAAAUCAAAACUUUUUCUUCUGGGUGGGCGGGGAUAGAGCAGGGUGCUAUAAUAAACUGAUCUGAAGAAGGUUUUAGUCGGGGGAGAAGAGAUCUGGUUUUUGCGCAGGCCGACCAAAGUACCUUGUUCUUCUACUAAAGAAGGAAUAUAUAUAUUUAAUUUAAUGAAUUUCCUUUUCCUUUUCCUUUUCUGAAAUAAUCGUUUUGUGAUAGAGAAAGGAAAAGAAACAAGGAAGACGCGUUUGUGUUGUGAUGAGUCGCGUUAGGCGUCGGCGUUUUGCAAUAAUAUUGGAAAGCCACCGAUUAAUACUAAUGAUUUUCCGAUUACGUCAUUUUCUAAUGGAUUAAUGAUUUUUUGUUGUUUGUUUAGUAAUGAAGGCGAGAAAGAUGCCACUAGUUUUGCGACCUGUGGCCAUCCAAAGAUGCUUACAACGAGGUGGACCAUUAUCGUCUUUUUUAUUUAUGUACUGUAUAUUUAUAAUGUUUUGGGUUUGAAAAAAAGAGGCCUAUGAUUCUCCGACAGUUGUGUUGCGUGGUCUUUUAGUUAAUUGUUUCUCAAUAUUCGCCGGAGGGGAGGACCAACCCUGUUGGUACAAAGCAAGAUUGUGAUUAUAUUAUCAAUUUGAUUCCAGUGUGUGUAUCUACACAAUUGGUCGGUUUGGGUUGAUGAGUUAAAAAUUACAGAGAAAAAUGACAGAAAGGCCGUAUUCUUUUAAAUGACGUUAUAGGAUACUUCCUCCGGAUACGAAUGUACGAUGUUCCAUCUUUUUAUCUUGGAUAUAAAUAUAUGAUGUUUUGAGAUAUAAUUAAUGCAUUUAGUUUUAAAAUUUAAACAGAGGACGAGAGCGUUCAAGAACUUACACUCCACGAUCUGAGUCGGGAUCGGGCCGGAGAGUUUGUUACCGGACAGAUCUAGAGUGACGAGGUAAGGAAGCCACGAGCAGAUUUGGGAAGGAAUCGCGCCGGAGAGAUCGUUCCCGGAGAGAUCUAAAGACUGUAGGCUCCGGCAGAGCUUGAGAGACUCGGGAAUCUGGCCGGCGAGCUGCAUAGAUUGGAGCUGGAGAGAGAU
Molecule: long non-coding RNA, 4454 nt
Filed under: Brassica napus (rape)
Lineage: Eukaryota; Viridiplantae; Streptophyta; Magnoliopsida; Brassicales; Brassicaceae
Description: long non-coding RNA (BNAP_LNC012129)
Source: RNAcentral